Molecule: ribosomal RNA, 630 nt
Filed under: uncultured bacterium
Lineage: Bacteria
Description: bacterial SSU rRNA
Rfam family: Bacterial small subunit ribosomal RNA
Source: RNAcentral
AAGCUGACCGCCUGGGGAGUACGGUCGCAAGAUUAAAACUCAAAGGAAUAGACGGGGACCCGCACAAGUGGUGGAGCAUGUGGUUUAAUUCGAAGAUACGCGAAGAACCUUACCUAGCCUUGACAUACUUUAGAACUCCGCAGAGAUGCAGAGGUGCCUUCGGGAGCUAAUUUACAGGUGCUGCACGGCUGUCGUCAGCUCGUGUCGUGAGAUGUUGGGUUAAGUCCCGCAACGAGCGCAACCCUCGUCACUAGUUACUAACGGUUCGGCCGAGGACUCUAGUGAGACUGCCUUCGUAAGGAGGAGGAAGGUGAGGACGACGUCAAGUCAUCAUGGCCCUUACGGCUAGGGCAACACACGUGCUACAAUGGCCAGGACAGUGAGACGCAAUACCGCGAGGUGGAGCAAAUCUAUAAACCUGGUCUCAGUUCGGAUUGUUCUCUGCAACUCGAGAACAUGAAGCUGGAAUCACUAGUAAUCGUAGAUCAGCUAUGCUACGGUGAAUACGUUCCCGGGUCUUGUACUCACCGCCCGUCACACCAUGGGAGUUGAUUUCACCCGAAGCGGGGAAGCUAAACUGGCUACCCUCCACGGUGGAAUUAGCGACUGGGGUGAAGUCGUAACAAGGUA